GCUGGUGUGGCCCAGUGGAUAGAGCGUUGGUUUGUGGACCAAAGGGUCCCUGGUUCAAGUCCAGUCUAGAGCA
Non-coding RNA from Myotis brandtii (Brandt's bat), 73 nucleotides. The record is from Rfam. Lineage: Eukaryota; Metazoa; Chordata; Mammalia; Chiroptera; Vespertilionidae.